ACGGGUGAGUAAUAUAUCGGAACGUACCCAGAAGUGGGGGAUAACGCAGCGAAAGUUGCGCUAAUACCGCAUACGAUCUACGGAUGAAAGUGGGGGAUUCGCAAGGACCUCAUGCUUUUGGAGCGGCCGAUAUCUGAUUAGCUAGUUGGUGAGGUAAAGGCUCACCAAGGCAUCGAUCAGUAGCUGGUCUGAGAGGACGACCAGCCACACUGGAACUGAGACACGGUCCAGACUCCUACGGGAGGCAGCAGUGGGGAAUUUUGGACAAUGGGGGCAACCCUGAUCCAGCAAUGCCGCGUGAGUGAAGAAGGCCUUCGGGUUGUAAAGCUCUUUUGUCAGGGAAGAAACGGUGGUCUCUAAUAUAGAUUACUAAUGACGGUACCUGAAGAAUAAGCACCGGCUAACUACGUGCCAGCAGCCGCGG
RNAcentral lists this ribosomal RNA (424 nucleotides) under uncultured bacterium. RNAcentral describes it as "bacterial SSU rRNA". It matches the Rfam family "Bacterial small subunit ribosomal RNA", at positions 102 to 520 of the family's 1533-position model. The record is from RNAcentral.